AGCACUUUGUGGAUGUCUUCAAUUGGUGGACAAAGGCAUGAAAGACAAGUGCAAAAAUAGAUCCUCUUUUACAACCCAAAACUCACUGUUCAGUGAGUUUUGGUACAGCUAACUCCCAAGAGACU
This is a small nucleolar RNA of Nannospalax galili (Upper Galilee mountains blind mole rat), 125 nucleotides long. NCBI's taxonomy places the organism in Eukaryota, Metazoa, Chordata, Mammalia, Rodentia, Spalacidae. The record is from Ensembl.